Molecule: small nucleolar RNA, 91 nt
Organism: Callithrix jacchus (white-tufted-ear marmoset)
Lineage: Eukaryota; Metazoa; Chordata; Mammalia; Primates; Cebidae
Gene: U3
Rfam family: Small nucleolar RNA U3
About the family: Small nucleolar RNAs (snoRNAs) are involved in the processing and modification of rRNA in the nucleolus. There are two main classes of snoRNAs: the box C/D class, and the box H/ACA class.
Source: Ensembl
AAGACUGUACUUUCAGGGAUAAUUUCUAUAGUUUGUUACUAGAGAAGUUUCUCUUAAUGUGUAGAGCACUGAGCCAAAAUAGACAAAUGGG